UUCCGGUUGAUCCUGCCGGACCCUACUGCUAUCGGGGUGGGACUAAGACAUGCGAGUUGUAUGGUUGAGACGCGGCAGACGGCUCAGUAACACGUGGCUAACCUACCCUCAGGACAGGGACAAACCCGGGAAACUGGGGCUAAUACCCGAUAGGCGAGGGCGCCUGGAAUGGUUCUUCACCCAAAGGAGUCAAAGCCUGAGGAUGGGGCCGCGUCCGAUCAGGUUGUUGGUGAGGUAACGGCUCACCAAUCCUAUAACCGGUACGGGCCGUGAGAGCGGUAGCCCGGAGAUGGGCACUGAGACAAGGGCCCAGGCCCUACGGGGCGCAGCAGUCGCGAAAACUCCGCAAUACACGAAAGUGUGACAGGGCUAUCCCGAGUGCCGUCCGCUGAGGAUGGCUUUUACCCAGUCUAGAACGCUGGGAGAAUAAGGAGAGGGCAAGAUCUGGUGUCAGCCGCCGCGGUAAUACCAGCUCUCCGAGUGGUAGGGAUGAUUAUUGGGCUUAAAGCGUCCGUAGCCGGCUUAGCAAGUCUCCUGUUAAACUCAGCGACUUAAUCGUUGAAUCGCGGGAGAUACUACUAGGCUAGGAGGCGGGAGAGGUCGACGGUACUUCUGGGGUAGGGGUGAAAUCCUAUAAUCCCGGGAGGACCACCAGUGGCGAAGGCUGUCGACUAGAACGCGCUCGACGGUGAGGGACGAAAGCUGGGGGAGCGAACCGGAUUAGAUACCCGGGUAGUCCCAGCUGUAAACGAUGCGGGCUAGGUGUUGGGGUGGCUACGAGCCACUUCAGUGCCGCAGGGAAGCCAUUAAGCCCGCCGCCUGGGGAGUACGGCCGCAAGGCUGAAACUUAAAGGAAUUGGCGGGGGAGCACCACAAGGCGUGAAGCUUGCGGUUCAAUUGGAUUCAACGCCGGA
Molecule: ribosomal RNA, 914 nt
Filed under: uncultured archaeon
Lineage: Archaea
Description: bacterial SSU rRNA
Rfam family: Archaeal small subunit ribosomal RNA
Source: RNAcentral